RNAcentral lists this ribosomal RNA (459 nucleotides) under uncultured bacterium. RNAcentral's name for it is "partial 16S ribosomal RNA". It matches the Rfam family "Bacterial small subunit ribosomal RNA", at positions 338 to 795 of the family's 1533-position model. The record is from RNAcentral.
CCUACGGGUGGCAGCAGUGAGGAAUAUUGGUCAAUGGGCGGAAGGCUGAACCAGCCAUGCCGCGUGAGGGUCAGUGCCCUUUGGGCGGUAAACCUCUUUUGUGCGGGAGCAAUAAUGGUCACGUGUGGCCAGACGAGAUUACCGUACGAAUAAGGAUCGGCUAACUCCGUGCCCGCAGCCGCGGUAAUACGGAGGAGCCGGGCGUUAUCCGGAUUUAUUGGGUUUAAAGGGAGCGUAGGUGGAUUGUUAAGUCAGUUGUGAAAGUUGGCGGCUCAACCGUAAAAUUGCAGUUGAAACUGGCAGUCUUGAGUACAGGAGAGGUGGGCGGAAUUCGUGGUGUAGCGGUGAAAUGCGUAGAUAUCACGAAGAACUCCGAUUGCGAAGGCAGCUCACUGGACUGCAACUGACGCUGAGGCUCGAAAGUGUGGGUAGCAAACAGGAUUAGAUACCCUAGUAGUC